This is a non-coding RNA of Pelobates cultripes (western spadefoot toad), 215 nucleotides long. The record is from the annotation of a GenBank genome assembly. Lineage: Eukaryota; Metazoa; Chordata; Amphibia; Anura; Pelobatidae.
AAUAAUAAUUGUCAAGUAUGUAUACUCCAAUUGAAAUGUAUGCAUUUAGUUAUGCUAUUUUGUCAUUGUAGGUAUAUCUAAAAACAUCUCGCAAAAGCUGCAGUUCUCUUGUCUGCAGCCUUUGCAAGUCCUCCCCUUCUAACCCCGCCCAGACUUUAUGUGGCUGUCCAAUCACAGACUUCCCAUUGCAACUCAGUGAGAAGUCUUUGCAAGGC